CCGAGUUGAGGCGAAGUAUGCCGAGUUGAACCGAUGCACUGUGCAGGCACUCGCUGCAUCUCGCUUUGUACGCGUGCGGUUUUCUGUGUUUGUGCGGCCCUGUGCUCCAAGUUGUCGCAUAGAAUGCAAACUUCAUCUUUCUCAUUUUUGAAGUACAGAACACGUGAAUGCACUGUUGCUUGGUCAUUGUCUCGGUUGUCCGAAAGGUUACAGGAAGUUAUGUUAGUGGAGAAGGAACACCUGAACAAAAAGGAAUGAACGUAUUUUGUCACUGUUUGGCAAUACAGGUGGCGAAGGGAUUUUUAAUCAUGCUUCUUAUGUACAUAAAGAAGAAACCUCUUAGAUAUGAUGCAAAUGCAAUAACACAAGCUGCAGAUGCUUUUUUUAAAAAAAAUUCCUUAUGAAACAUUGAGAUGUUCAUGUGAAAAUCCUGCUAAAGUCAAAGGCUGUGGGAAAGCAACAGUGCUGUCAAAAGAGGAGGAAAAGUAUAUAGUUGAAGCUCUAGUGUUUACAGCAAAGUGUGGAUAUCUGUGAGACAGAAAAGAUUUACAGUUUAUGGUGCGUAGUUACAUACAUUUAGUUGAUAGGAAGACACAAUUUAAGGACGAUAGUGCUAUGCCAGGCUGUCUUUAUUGCAUGUUUCGAAAAAAGAUUGUGAAAACCUGAACUAUUGACAAGAGCAAGGGCUGAAGGAUUGUCUAAUUUUGUAGCAGAUGAGUUUUGUAGGAUGUUUGUUCCUAAAAGUGCAAGGGUAACCUAUUCAAGAUCAGGGGGUGCAGGAAUAUCAUAUAGCCUAUAAUAAUGUAAGAUUAUGGGUUCUGAUUAUUGUAUAUAAUACUGUCUUUUGCAUAGAGUUUUGUUUACAGUGUAAAAAAACUCAUUUAAUAUGUAAUAUUGUGUAGUUUAAUUAUUUAUUGUGCUUAAGAUUGUCCAUUGUGUAAAGUGUAAUCUCAACAUUAAGAAACAAGUUUCACGUAUAACAGUCGAUGCAAGUGAUUGUAUCUUCACCUACAAUGUUUGGUUACCUAAGAACCAGUAUCCCUUCCAGGCGCUUGUCAGUUGUUUCCUAAAGAUGGCCUAAUAAGCCGAAAGCUACUUCGAAAUAAACAAAAAUCAGUAGAACAAAAACAGUGUACUUGUUAUUCAACCUUAAAUAUGGAAUUGUUCUGCCAAGAAGUGAAGGAAGAAUCCAUAAAUAAAAAUAAAAUGUUAUUCCAUUAAAUUUUUGACAAAAUGCAAAGGAGAAGGUGAACAUUACAUUUUCCCAAACAAAAAUGACAUUGAAUGAGUUGAUGCGGGUGAAAUUGCUGACACAUAUCCCAUUACUGACUACAACGGAAGAUUUUAGAGUUUGUGUAAAAUGUUUUUGUGAGAAUGACUUUCAUCAGAAAUAAGCUAAUGUUUUUAUUUGCGUAAUUCAUAGUGUAAUAUUGUUUAAUAAUUUUCUGUAGUAUGUCCUAAUUUAUGUUAAUUUCUUAUUAUACCUGCCUUACUCAUAUAGUGAGGUAAAAUAGGUAUAGCACUUCUUAAAUGUAAGUUUUACUA
Long non-coding RNA from Schistocerca nitens (vagrant locust), 1545 nucleotides. RefSeq lists it as uncharacterized. Lineage: Eukaryota; Metazoa; Arthropoda; Insecta; Orthoptera; Acrididae. The transcript is spliced from 3 exons. The record is from RefSeq and is a predicted model, not a curated record.